UACGUAGGGGGCAAGCGUUAUCCGGAAUUACUGGGUGUAAAGGGAGCGUAGACGGUAAUGCAAGUCUGGAGUGAAAGGCGGGGGCCCAACCCCCGGACUGCUCUGGAAACUGUGUAACUGGAGUGCAGGAGAGGCAGGCGGAAUUCCAUGUGUAGCGGUGAAAUGCGUAGAGAUAUGGAGGAACACCAGUGGCGAAGGCGGCUUCCUGGUCUGCAACUGACACUGAGGCGCGAAAGCGUGGGGAGCAAACAGG
RNAcentral lists this ribosomal RNA (253 nucleotides) under uncultured Eubacteriales bacterium. RNAcentral describes it as "uncultured Clostridiales bacterium partial 16S ribosomal RNA". It matches the Rfam family "Bacterial small subunit ribosomal RNA", at positions 524 to 776 of the family's 1533-position model. The record is from RNAcentral. Lineage: Bacteria; Bacillati; Bacillota; Clostridia; Eubacteriales.